This 253-nucleotide ribosomal RNA is filed under the name uncultured bacterium. RNAcentral describes it as "partial 16S ribosomal RNA". It matches the Rfam family "Bacterial small subunit ribosomal RNA", at positions 524 to 776 of the family's 1533-position model. The record is from RNAcentral.
UACAGAGGGGGCAAGCGUUGUUCGGAAUUACUGGGCGUAAAGGGCGCGUAGGCGGCCGACUAAGUCAGACGUGAAAUCCCAUGGCUCAACCAUGGAACUGCGUCUGAUACUGGAUGGCUUGAGUUCGGGAGAGGGAAGUGGAAUUCCAGGUGUAGCGGUGAAAUGCGUAGAUAUCUGGAGGAACACCGGUGGCGAAGGCGGCUUCCUGGACCGACACUGACGCUGAGGCGCGAAAGCCAGGGGAGCAAACGGG